RNAcentral lists this long non-coding RNA (215 nucleotides) under Setaria italica (foxtail millet). Its description in RNAcentral is "long non-coding RNA (SITA_LNC003146)". The record is from RNAcentral. Lineage: Eukaryota; Viridiplantae; Streptophyta; Magnoliopsida; Poales; Poaceae.
AAACCUCUUUCGAAAUUUCAGGAAAAGGAGGAUCUGCAGCAUAUUCCUGUCUUUCCUUUCCACUUUCUAUCUUCCCUGACGAUUAGAACCCAUUUAUCAAUGAGCUAAUCAAUAUUAUUCCUUUUUCUUCUUUUUUCUCAACCUCCGCUCCUUCUCUCCUACCGUGCAGAUUGCGGCACUGGUGCCGGGGGAGGCUGGCAGCGGACAGGGGCGAU